ACGUAGGCAGCGAGCGUUGUUCGGAGUUACUGGGCGUAAAGAGUAUGUAGGCGGUUCUCCAAGUCUGGUGUGAAAUCUCCCGGCUCAACUGGGAGGGUGCGCCGAAAACUGCCUGGCUCGAGUGCCGGAGAGGAAAGCGGAAUUCCUGGUGUAGCGGUGAAAUGCGUAGAUAUCAGGAGGAACACCGGUGGUGUAGACGGCUUUCUGGACGGCCACUGACGCUGAGGCACGAAAGCGUGGGGAGCAAACAG
This 251-nucleotide ribosomal RNA is filed under the name uncultured prokaryote. Its description in RNAcentral is "partial 16S ribosomal RNA". It matches the Rfam family "Bacterial small subunit ribosomal RNA", at positions 525 to 775 of the family's 1533-position model. The record is from RNAcentral.